AACGAACGCUGGCGGCAUGCCUAACACAUGCAAGUCGAACGAGACCUUCGGGUCUAGUGGCGCACGGGUGCGUAACGCGUGGGAACCUGCCCUUAGGUUCGGAAUAACUCCCCGAAAGGGGUGCUAAUACCGGAUAAUGUCUUCGGACCAAAGAUUUAUCGCCGUUGGAUGGGCCCGCGUUGGAUUAGCUAGUUGGUAGGGUAAAAGCCUACCAAGGCGACGAUCCAUAGCUGGUCUGAGAGGAUGAUCAGCCACACUGGGACUGAGACACGGCCCAGACUCCUACGGGAGGCAGCAGUGGGGAAUAUUGGACAAUGGGCGGAAGCCUGAUCCAGCAAUGCCGCGUGAGUGAUGAAGGCCUUAGGGUUGUAAAGCUCUUUUACCCGGGAUGAUAAUGACAGUACCGGGAGAAUAAGCUCCGGCUAACUCCGUG
Molecule: ribosomal RNA, 433 nt
Filed under: uncultured bacterium
Lineage: Bacteria
Description: partial 16S ribosomal RNA
Rfam family: Bacterial small subunit ribosomal RNA
Source: RNAcentral